RNAcentral lists this ribosomal RNA (524 nucleotides) under Phymata pennsylvanica. RNAcentral's name for it is "partial 16S ribosomal RNA". It matches the Rfam family "Bacterial large subunit ribosomal RNA", at positions 1797 to 2590 of the family's 2925-position model. Lineage: Eukaryota; Metazoa; Arthropoda; Insecta; Hemiptera; Phymatidae. The record is from RNAcentral.
CGCCUGUUUAACAAAAACAUGUCUUUUAGAUUUUAUUAAAAGUCUGACCUGCCCAAUGAAUUUUUUUAAUGGCCGCGGUAUUUUGACCGUGCAAAGGUAGCAUAAUCAUUUGUCUCUUAAUUAGAGGCUGGAAUGAAUGGUUGGACGAGAAAUCAGCUUUCUUUAAUAUAUAUUUAAAACUUAAUUUUUAAGUCAAAAAGCUUAAAUUUUAUUAAGGGACGAGAAGACCCUAUAGAACUUUAUUAAUUUAUUGGACCACAUAAUUUUUUUAUUUACUUUUGUGGUCCACAUCUUUUAAUUGUGUUGGGGUGACAUAGAAAUUUAAUUAACUUUCUUUUUUUAUAUUCAUUGAUUAGUGUAUUUUUAGAUCCAGGUUUAUCUUGAUUAUAAGUUUAAGUUACCUUAGGGAUAACAGCGUAAUUCUUUUGGAGAGUUCUAAUCGAUGAAAGAGUUUGCGACCUCGAUGUUGGAUUAAAAUUAGUAUUGGGAGUAGAAGAUCAAUUACUAGGUCUGUUCGACCUUUA